Molecule: non-coding RNA, 2557 nt
Organism: Lolium perenne
Lineage: Eukaryota; Viridiplantae; Streptophyta; Magnoliopsida; Poales; Poaceae
Source: RefSeq, a predicted model, not a curated record
GUCGUACUCCCGUUCCGCACCGUGGACAACUCCGUUUCGCCGGUCCCUAAAUCACGCGCCCACCUCGCUCUAAUCCCGCCCCAUCCCAAACAUCUCCCUGGCGCACGCCCCUCCCCUUCCGUGCCUACAGAUCCACAGGCGACGGAAUCGCCGGCGGCCCGGCGCGGAGGAAGCCCGAGGUCGGCGAGGAGGCGCCGACCGUCCCGUCGUCUUUCUGCAGCAGCUGCCGGUCUCGGCUCCGUCUCGCCCCCAACCAGGAGUCACCGUCCCCUCCCCUUUUCCUCUCCAUCUCUCCAUUCAUGGUGCAGCGGCGUCAGAUGCAACUGCCUACUCAGGGUUCUGCGGUGUUUGCGGACCCGAGGAUGAACGGGGAUGGCGGCGGCUUCAUGAAAGGAGCUGAACAUGCGGCGGCCUGAACUCUUCCAAGGGGCUAACCUCCAUCUCGUCAAUUGCAGGAGCAUGACCGGGAGAACCAUUUUGGCAUCAGUCAGAUUGGAGGCGGGAGGUCAAGAUGAACGCGAAGACGCUGGGAGAGGAGAGCAGUGCGGAGGAAGGAGGGCAGAGGCCAAGACCCGGCCAGCAGGACAGCCACCACGCCGCCUUCUUCUCACCUCCGUGACGCCAUCCUCCUCUGUGUAUUUGCGCCCAGAUGUCGAGUCCUCAUCCACUCAGCUGCUACUGACUAAGCAUCCAGCUGAAACUAUACCUCUGUAGUUGGCGGACGAAACAUAGAUGGAAUCUUAUCCAUUGGUGGAGGAGCUCGAGAGCUCAGUACAGAUCCGCCCAACGUCCCGCACCUCUCAGCCAUCAGGCCCAAUACAUGUUCCAGUUCAGCUUCAUCGCGUCCCAGAUGUACGAGACACACAGUAAAUUUUGGAUAAGAUAAGAUGGUUUUGUUUGAUCUCAAGAGUAUAGAGUAUGGACCUGGAAUCAUUUUGCUCGGACGGGUAGAAGCCUUAUACAUAUGGUUAUAGCACGAAAUUAGCUGAAGUGGACCAAGGUGCACUUUUUGUGUGAGUUGUUCCGCAGGGAAAGCAGUGUUCUCCUCGACGACAGCAUCAACAGGUGGUUUUUACACCAUCAGGAUCAGUAAGGAGCAUCCGGAAUUAAAGAACAGAUAUGGUUACAAGCAAACUCCCUUUCAAUCUGAGAACAAAGUUCGCUUCUCAAGCGAAACCACUAUACAAAGGCCUAGAGGAAAUAACUGAUUCAUCCUGAGGAAGGUGAGCUCGAAAGUUCAGAUUCCUCAUGGUUGACGCAUCAGAUGUGAAAACCCAUUCACACUGAACUAAUUCAGCUCGAAAGUUCAAAUUCCGCUUGGUUGAUGCAUCAAAACCUAUCCACGCUCAAUACGUGAACUAAUUCCAUGCCUUCUUAUGUUGAUAACUCAUUGGUAGUUCCACAAGGAAUCCGGGGCAUCUUAGGAAGCGAAUACGGCUAACGUUGCUGCAGUAGCAGAGGUUCCUCAUGUCAGGCUCAGUGAUGACAUACGUGUGUCUGAUGGAGGAAAUCUGAGUGCACACUGCAUUUCUUGUGGCUGUAAUAUAGUGUAGUCAUGAUCAAAUAUAUCAUUAACGUGAGAUGAGAUAGUGUCGCACAAAUAUGUAUUUCUUGAGUCUUGUUAAUACAUUAUUCUUCAUGCAGAUAAACAUGGUCCAGUCUUUCAGAAGUAUAGCAGACUAUGACAGUAAUGAAAACAUUGUUGUUGAUUCAGUAUUUUGGAACCACAUCAUCCGUUUCAGCACAUUUAGUAGAAUAAGCAUGGACGCAUGUUGACAGAAACUCUAAAUAGCAGAUGAUUACUCAUUCUGUACAGUUAUCAUGCUUCCUUUGUACCAUCACAUAGAUACGCAGAUAACCAAUGAUUUCUAGAGACCAUGAGGUAUGUGUUUGAGCAUUUCAUAGUUGUCUCUUUCAUCGGUAGCGAGUAAGUGGUCUGCAGCUUCUCAAUUUUUCUUUUCUCAAAUGUUCUUUGGUGGUUGCUAGAUCCAUGCUAGAUCAGUAUGUGGUUUUUGAAGCCUUAGCUAGCUAAUUUGAUUUGAAGCAAACAUUUCUUUAUCCUUCCAAAUAGUGCAAUUUAGAUCUCCAGUUCUCUCUCCUUCUAUUAUUUAGAGUACAAAUGUUCCGAACAAAAGUGUUGGUUGUGAUCUAAAUUUUUUUUUGUUGUCUCGCUGUCAGGAGCAGACCGUCGCAACCGCUUGCUUCGCCAUGAAUUUUCCUCUAGAUCUAAUCCAAAGGGGAAGUGAUGGAGCAUGAUGUUGAAGAGAAGGAAUGUGAGAAAGAUGGGGAUAGCACACAGGGAAUAGGUAAGCAUCUGAGUUGCUGAUAGGAAGGAGAGAGAUAAAAAAAAAUUGAGCUCAGUUGUACACUUGUAUUGAUGGGGAUAGCCGGCCGACACCAGCGAUGGUUGUGGAGGUCGCUGGCCAAGAACUCGUGCUCAUGCUCAUGGUGGCCGGCACCGUUAAAGUUAUUAUUAUUUUGUUACCUUGAUGAAAUAUGUAACCGUUAUUUGAGAUAAUGAAGUUAUCUUCAAUAAAACGAAUCUAAGUUUGUAUUU